CCUCGAGAGCUCUCCCUGCCGCCUCUCUUUCUUCCAGCCGCCGCCUCGUCCUCCUCUCCCUUCCGCUCUCCCACCUCCCUCCAGAUCUUGCGUGCAGCGCCGGAUUUCGGGCGGGCUGCAGGGGAUGUCGGCCAGAUUCCAGUUCCCGUGGACAUCCUCCCCAGCGUUCCUCAUGGGAGCGGGCCACGCGAUGAUAUCUCGGUGGUGGCAGCCGCGGACACCAUGAGGAGGCACAGUUUGGAGAUCUCGUAGCCGCGCUUUACACGACCAAAGGGCCUGCGCCGAUGUCAACGUCACCUCCAGGAAAAACGGCGGCGAGAUGCACAAAACAGAUCUAACAGAUCUAGGCGUGAGCAUUGCUGGGACGUCCACAAGCAGCCGUGCAACAUGUGAUUAACUAAUUGUAUUCUUCACUGCACCAUUUUUGUUUGCAUUUUUUCAUUUUGAAAGUGUAGAUGCAAACAUGGAUGCAGGGUCGUACAGGUGAUAGAUGAUACCAGUCUUCUCAAGGGAUUCUUGGAGAUGGGUGUUGCACAUGAUCCAGAAUGACCUCUUCCAUGGAUGGCCUAUUGACUCCAAUUUCUGGAGAUGGGUCGAUAACUGAUGGUCCACCGUAAUACAAGCAUCAAGAGGUGCUAUAGUAAUUGGUGAAGAAUGAUAUGCACUUAAGUACAAGGACUGAUGAUGGUGUGUCAUGGCCGAAGAUUAUGAAAAGAAAAUCUCUUCUCUAGUUGUUGCAUGAUUUCUUGUUAGAGAUGAACAACUACAAUGGUUAUCUAGAGAGUUUUGGGGUUCAUAAUUUCUGAAUGGUACUUUAUCUCCAGAAAUGUAUGU
Triticum dicoccoides is the source of this 834-nucleotide long non-coding RNA. RefSeq lists it as uncharacterized. The transcript is spliced from 4 exons. NCBI's taxonomy places the organism in Eukaryota, Viridiplantae, Streptophyta, Magnoliopsida, Poales, Poaceae. The record is from RefSeq and is a predicted model, not a curated record.